UAGGGAAUUUUGCGCAAUGGGCGAAAGCCUGACGCAGCAACGCCGCGUGAUUGAUGAAGCCCUUCGGGGUGUAAAGAUCUGUCAGCAGGGAAGAAAAAUGACUGUACCUGCAGAGGAAGCACCGGCUAACUCCGUGCCAGCAGCCGCGGUAAUACGGGGGGUGCAAGCGUUGUCCGGAAUCAUUGGGCGUAAAGAGUUCGUAGGUGGUAUGUUAAGUCUGGUGUUAAAGGCGGAAGCUCAACUUCCGUAGGGCACCGGAUACUGGCAAACUUGAAUGCGGUAGAGGUAAAGGGAAUUCCUGGUGUAGCGGUGAAAUGCGUAGAUAUCAGGAGGAACAUCGGUGGCGUAAGCGCUUUACUGGGCCGUAAUUGACACUGAGGAACGAAAGCCGGGGUAGCAAAUGGG
This 405-nucleotide ribosomal RNA is filed under the name uncultured bacterium. RNAcentral describes it as "bacterial SSU rRNA". It matches the Rfam family "Bacterial small subunit ribosomal RNA", at positions 355 to 776 of the family's 1533-position model. The record is from RNAcentral.